Molecule: long non-coding RNA, 1105 nt
Organism: Cavia porcellus (domestic guinea pig)
Lineage: Eukaryota; Metazoa; Chordata; Mammalia; Rodentia; Caviidae
Exons: 3
Source: RefSeq, a predicted model, not a curated record
CUCAAGGUCAACAGCCUUCUUCAACACAGUGCAGCUGCAGCCUGGCCCGGAGGCUGAGGAUGAAUAAUUCAGGCUGCACUGAGAGGAGAGUGCGGGAGAGAAACUGAGAUCACAGCACCUAGCUUGUUAAUUAGGAAAAAAUGUCUUCCUGCUCGGCCAUUUGAAGGCAUAGGACACGUGUGCGAGGACUAGCGACACAGGACUGGUAGAGGUGACUAAGCUCUCGGGAGCCGAAGGGCCUGGGUGAGAACCUCGCUCAGGAAGGCAGCCGACCAGCUGCAAGGGUGAGGAGCUAAGUCUGCAGACUGACUGCUGGAAGUCAGUGUGCGCCUGCCUCAGUUGGCUCCCUUCAGGACAGGACAGGACAGGACAGGACAGGACAGGACAGGACAGAUAUUUGGUACACUUUCACCUGGUGAUCUGGAGCUCGAUCCUAUUACAUCAGCCCAAAACAAGAGAAAGAUCUAUGUGUGAAGAUGUCUUUGAGGGAACACUUUCAGAAAAAAACCCACUUUGGGCAUAUGCUUACUUUUCAUACAUAAGGCAAAAGAUAUUUCUGGCUGCGCUCCAGGUUCCGAUUCUCAGAGAGAACAUCUGAUUGGCCAGGCUUGGGUCACGUGACAACCCCCUGGGGAGGGCGGAGGCCUCCUUUCCACAAAGAGAACUCCUUAAAUAGAACCCGUUUCUGCUACUGAAAGAGAAGAUAAUGAAUGCUGGACAGGCAAACACUGCAAGCGCCUAUGACACUGCAAGAAGCAUGAGUUUCCUUGGCUACAGAGGCGUCCAGGCACUUGCAGAGGAAUCACUCCAAGCCUUGCAGUAGCACACAAGGAGUUGAAAAAGUGACUCUCCCAAUGCUCCAGUGCCGUUAGAUUUAGUUAUAAUCAUAUGUUGCAGUGUCAUCAGGCAAGCAGCAUGUGAAAUCAAAGUAGGAACAUUUCAUUUUAAACUUUGCUGAUUUUUCAGAUUUGCUUUGCAUUCUUGAUAAUGAUUUCUUAUCCUGCUUUUAUGUCUCCUCAGAUAAAGUGCCAUCAUACAUGUUAGCCCCAUUAAACAUAAAGUAAGCAUUAUUGAUAAUUAUAAUCAGGGUUAUGAUGCAUUAAAA